AGAGUUUGAUCCUGGCUCAGGAUGAACGCUAGCGGCAGGCUUAACACAUGCAAGUCGAGGGGCAGCGGGGUGUAGCAAUACAUCGCCGGCGACCGGCGCACGGGUGCGUAACACGUAUGGAAUCUGCCCUUUACCGGGGAAUAGCCCGGAGAAAUCCGGAUUAAUGCCCCAUAACAAGCGAGGUGGCAUCACCUUUCUUUGAAAGCUCCGGCGGUAAAGGAUGACCAUGCGCACGAUUGGCUAGUUGGUGAGGUAAUGGCUCACCAAGGCUACGAUCGUUAGGGGGCCUGAGAGGGCUAUCCCCCACACUGGUACUGAGACACGGACCAGACUCCUACGGGAGGCAGCAGUGAGGAAUAUUGCGCAAUGGAGGCAACUCUGACGCAGCCAUGCCGCGUGCAGGAAGAAGGCGCUACGCGUUGUAAACUGCUUUUAUCCGGGAAGAAACCCUCCGACGUGUCGGAGGUUGACGGUACCGGAGGAAUAAGCACCGGCUAACUUCGUGCCAGCAGCCGCGGUAAUACGAAGGGUGCAAGCGUUAUCCGGAUUCAUUGGGUUUAAAGGGUGCGUAGGCGGAGUGUUAAGUCAGUGGUGAAAUCCUGCAGCUCAACUGUAGACUUGCCAUUGAUACUGACGCUCUUGAGUGCGCUUGAAGUGGGCGGAAUGUGCCGUGUAGCGGUGAAAUGCGUAGAUAUGGCACAGAGCACCAAUUGCGAAGGCAGCUCACUAAGGCGAUACUGACGCUGAGGCACGAAAGCGUGGGGAUCGAACAGGAUUAGAUACCCUGGUAGUCCACGCCGUAAACGAUGAUCACUCGUGAUUGGCGAUACACAGUCAGUCACCUAGCGAAAGCGUUAAGUGAUCCACCUGGGGAGUACGAUCGCAAGAUUGAAACUCAAAGGAAUUGACGGGGGCCCGCACAAGCGGUGGAGCAUGUGGUUCAAUUCGAUGAUACGCGAGGAACCUUACCAGGGCUCGAACGCACGACGACAGGGGUGGAAACAUCCUCUUCUUCGGACGGCGUGCGAGGUGCUGCAUGGCUGUCGUCAGCUCGUGCCGUGAGGUGUCGGGUUAAGUCCCAUAACGAGCGCAACCCCUAUCUUUAGUUGCCAGCGGGUAAUGCCGGGGACUCUAGAGAAACUGCCCGCGUAAGCGGUGAGGAAGGUGGGGACGACGUCAAGUCAUCACGGCCCUUACGU
This 1199-nucleotide ribosomal RNA is filed under the name metagenome. RNAcentral describes it as "bacterial SSU rRNA". It matches the Rfam family "Bacterial small subunit ribosomal RNA", at positions 8 to 1207 of the family's 1533-position model. The record is from RNAcentral.